RNAcentral lists this long non-coding RNA (714 nucleotides) under Cyanistes caeruleus (blue tit). Its description in RNAcentral is "lncRNA (ENSCCEG00000010569.1)". The record is from RNAcentral. Lineage: Eukaryota; Metazoa; Chordata; Aves; Passeriformes; Paridae.
AGAACCAGCUCUUGUGGCAGAGGCAUCUGCUGAGAGGCUGCAGUGGUGUCAUAGUACAGGCUGGGUUAGUAGCCAGAGAUUAAUGUAAUUUAUGACCUACAUGUGUUCCUAAAUAGUAAUGGAGAAUUUUUCCUCAGAUUACUGGGAAAAACAUGUAACUUCUUGGACCUUGAAAAGGAAGCUUUAAGAUUUUUAAGGAGCACAUUUAAACCUAACACAGCUGGAAGAUUUCUCCACUGAUUUAAUGUGCACAGACUCAGACUCUUAGUAUCUGAGAAGAGAAUCAAGAGAAAGACAUACUCAGUUGAAAGAGAAUUAGCUUUAAAGAAGACUCAGGAUAUUAACAUCCCUGUUCUCCCCAUCAUGGGCUUCUGUGUGUUCUCUGCAAAAGCCCAGCCUCUCACUAUGCCUGGUAAGCUGUGGCAGUUUUAUGGCCAGGGUGCUGCAUGAAUCUGAAACUGCAGGUUUGGCUCAGCAGAAUUGACUUCUAAGUAAUGACUGUAUUCUAAUGUCUUACAUGUAAAGAUGCAGUCGGAUAGUUUUCAUUUAUUAAAAUAUUUAAUGAGUAAGCUGAUUAGAGAUUAGCACACUUUUUCUGAUAAAAUUUCUAGGUGAAUGCAGAUGAGAAGUAUUUCAUAUGGUAACCUAUCUCCAUUGUUGCUGUAUAAAUGUUUUAGCAGAAAUACUCGUAAUAAGAACAUAUAUCCUAAGUGA